This 441-nucleotide ribosomal RNA is filed under the name uncultured bacterium. RNAcentral describes it as "partial 16S ribosomal RNA". It matches the Rfam family "Bacterial small subunit ribosomal RNA", at positions 338 to 795 of the family's 1533-position model. The record is from RNAcentral.
CCUACGGGGGGCAGCAGUGGGGAAUAUUGCACAAUGGGGGAAACCCUGAUGCAGCAACGCCGCGUGAGUGAAGAAGGUUUUCGGAUUGUAAAGCUCUGUUAGCAGGGAAGAGGAAGGACGGUACCUGCAGAGGAAGCCACGGCUAACUACGUGCCAGCAGCCGCGGUAAUACGUAGGUGGCAAGCGUUGUUCGGAAUAACUGGGCGUAAAGGAUGCGUAGGCGGUUAAACAAGUUAUAUGUUAAAUAUAUAGGCUUAACCUGUGGCCUGCAUUUGAAACUGUAGUUCUUGAGUACUGGAGAGGCAGACGGAAUUCCUAGUGUAGCGGUGAAAUGCGUAGAUAUUAGGAGGAACACCAGUGGCGAAGGCGGUCUGCUGGACAGCAACUGACGCUGAGGCGCGAAAGCGUGGGGAGCAAACAGGAUUAGAUACCCGAGUAGUC